RNAcentral lists this ribosomal RNA (500 nucleotides) under uncultured bacterium. Its description in RNAcentral is "partial 16S ribosomal RNA". It matches the Rfam family "Bacterial small subunit ribosomal RNA", at positions 30 to 523 of the family's 1533-position model. The record is from RNAcentral.
AUUGAACGCUAGCGGGAUGCCUUACACAUGCAAGUCGAACGGCAGCACGGACUUCGGUCUGGUGGCGAGUGGCGUACGGGUGAGUAAAGUAUCGGAACGUGCCCAGUAGCGGGGGAUAACUACGCGAAAGCGUAGCUAAUACCGCAUACGCCCUAAGGGGGAAAGCGGGGGAUCGCAAGACCUCGCACUAUUGGAGCGGCCGAUAUCGGAUUAUCUAGUUGGUGGGGUAAAGGCCUACCAAGGCGACGAUCCGUAGCUGGGUUGAGAGGACGGCCAGCCACACUGGGACUGAGACACGGCCCAGACUCCGACGGGAGGCAGCAGUGGGGAAUUUUGGACAAUGGGGGCAACCCUGAUUCAGCCAUUUCGCGUGUGCGAUGAAGGCCUUCGGGUUGUAAAGCACUUUUGGCAGGGAAGAAAAGGAUUGGGCUAAUACCCUGAUUCGCUGACGGUACCUGCAGAAUAAGCACCGGCUAACUACGUGCCAGCCGCCGCAGUAA